This is an unclassified non-coding RNA of Colobus angolensis palliatus, 94 nucleotides long. It matches the Rfam family "Y RNA". Rfam says of the family: Y RNAs are components of the Ro ribonucleoprotein particle (Ro RNP), in association with Ro60 and La proteins. The record is from Ensembl. NCBI's taxonomy places the organism in Eukaryota, Metazoa, Chordata, Mammalia, Primates, Cercopithecidae.
GACUGGUCCGAGUGCAGUGUUGUUUAUAGCUCAUUGAUCACAGCCAGUUACAGAUUUCUUUGUUUCUCCUCUACUCCCACCUGACUAACCUUAA